RNAcentral lists this long non-coding RNA (3255 nucleotides) under Coffea arabica (coffee). Its description in RNAcentral is "long non-coding RNA (CARA_LNC004212)". Lineage: Eukaryota; Viridiplantae; Streptophyta; Magnoliopsida; Gentianales; Rubiaceae. The record is from RNAcentral.
ACUAGAGAUAACCCCUUAAAUAUGGGAUAUGGACGAGUUUGGCUUUCUAAGCUUUAGCACGCUCGUAUUCCCUCUAUUAAAGGGAACAUUGAAAGUCACGAGUAUAAGUCCCCCGCACCCAUUAUGAUGCAUUUCUUUAGGCCACAUAUAUUUGCAUAAUUACUCUUAUUUUCCUUUUCUUUUUCUUUCUUUCGAGUCUCAUGACUUGCAUAUUCGUGACCUCUCUAAAAAGUCCGCAUUGGGCAUCACAAUUAAUGUGAUUGGUACUAAUUAAGCUUUGAAGAGAUAUUUCGAUCCCCGAUACCCUCUUAGGUCUAGAGUUUGCAUUCAUAUAGUAUAUCCAAAUGUGAUAAAUCUUAAGGUUAAAAUAAGAAAGUUUUUUACUAAAUCGCGCAACUAGCCUUGGUUAGGUUGAAAGAGUGCUUUGGAUUCUUAUCCUUGCCUUUCCUUUCUUCAAAUGUGACUCCUGAAUCUUUUUCUCUGAUUUUCGUAGAUUUGGAGUCGUUUAAAAAGGGUUUUCUACUUUUUUCUUUAAAAUUCAUUUUUUGGUGACUUGGUACACCUCAACUCAAUACCAAGUGGCAACUCCAUUCAAAAAAUCCUUUUUAAACUAUAUUUUGGGUCAAAUCGUUGCAUUUUCAAGUCCCAUUUAGACCCAUGUUUUUUCAUUUUUUUUAAAUAAAAAAUUCAUUUUCCAAUCAAAAGUUGAAUCAAAAGCCAUUUUUCUAAACUCGUCUUUUAUUUUUCUUAUAAAAAAAUGGGGCGCGACAGUUGGUGACUCUACUGGGGAACUUAGAGGGUCCAAGCAUUCGAUUUAGUCCACCAUUUCUUCUUUUAACCUUCUCAUAUAUCAUAUUUGGAGUAGUAGGUUGUAUUCUUCUUUUCCUUUUUCCUUUUUUCUCUUUAUUAGGAUUUUUGCAUCUAUCACGCGUGUAAUCACUCCUCGCGCACUAUGUAUGUAAUGAAUGGAUGGUUUAUUUGUAUCGCGCUUGCAUUGUUGGGUGGGGGGUAGUCACCCUAGAACCGUCGACCGCAUUUUGAUGGUAUUAUAAUCCCUCCCCUCAAAAGGAAAAUCAUUUCAUACGUGUAUGCAUAAUUUUUACCCUACCCACAUCUCCCUGUAGGAUUAGGAUCGAUUGCCUUAGGUAUGCGGAUGGUGUGCACUGCACCCAUAGCGAUGCCUAAGGGAUCACUCGAGCCACCGACCGAAGGCCCUGAGAUUGAUGACCCUUCGCCUUUAGGUCUAAAGGCUUGGGAGCCUAAAGCCUGAUCGAGUCUAGAUGCAUUAGUAAGACCCAACCUUAUGCAUCCAUGUUAGAAGUGCCUAGGAUAAAGUCAACCUACCUGACUAGGAACACUAGGCAUGAGGGGAGGGAUCCCACCCCUCUUUCCUUAUUUAUCUUUUUGCUUUUAAUCGCCCAAAGUGUUAUGUGAUUAUGUGUUGAACUAACGUUUCUUUGUUUUCUUGUCUUUUGCAUUCACAAACGUAGGAAUAAGAGAUCUGGCAUGAUCUUCUUUAUAGAACCCACCUUCUUAGAUAGGCUAUUGCACAUUUAAAGAUUCUGAUAUAUUGCAUUUGUAGGAUGAUAAUGUCAUAUCAUUUUAGGCCUACCCUGGCGUAUAAAGGGUUCCUUAGGUCAUAUUUCAUUUCAAAUUGCAUGUUUUAUCGAUUUAUUACACUGGCAUCAUGCAUCCACCUUAGAAGGAAAUGCCAUUUAAGGAAUCCCGUUAUAGGAAUAAACCGCCCCGUGUCUCGGAUAUAUAAUCCAAUGAGACUUGCACAUUUAUAUUUUUGUACUGUCCGAAGGGGUAGUGCAUGAGGUAAGGUAGGAUCCGAUCUUUUCGAAGACGGCAAAGCAAUUUUUGCACAUUAGAAUAUGAGCAUCUAACAAUCAUUUUUUGGCCAUUUUUAACAUAGCUGGUAAAAAUCCCUUGCUUAAAGGACAUUGAUUUGAAGAAAUUCACAAACGAUUCCUCAUUGUUGAGACGAUAAAUAUAGAGGCCAAAUCUUGAUUUUAGGAGGCUCAUAGACUAAUGCAUUGCAAUGAUUUUUUGAAACUACCAAUGGGUAGAUAGUUCAAUCAAUUUUUUUGAAUAAACCAUCAAUAUCAUCCAAUCCAUUUUGUCAAUUCAUUCAAUUUUCGGACAAUCUAAUCAUUUUUUAAUAAAUCAUUAACUCCAUUUCAUUCAUUUGGCCAAUUUACCCAUUUUUGGGGCAAUCGGGUCGAUUUUGAAGACAUCAUCAAUUUCAUUCAAUUCAGUUGACCAAUCUACCUAUUUUUAGUGCAAUUCGAUCGGCUUUGAAUAAAUCAUCAAUUUUACCCUAUCCAUUUGACCUGUUUUUUUUCCUUUAGGAUUUAAGUCUAAGGUUCACUGAAUAAAUUAAUCAAGACAUUGCAAUCUCUUUUAUACAUCAUUUUUAUGUGUUGAUCAAAGCAGGCAAUCCAUUUGGACUUCAUCCUCAUUUUUUAGGACAAAUGACUCUUCUCACUCCAAUUGGCCAGAUUUUUUCAAAUCAUUUUUCACUCAAUCAGUUGAUCGGAUUCAUCAGGUAUUGUAUGGUGCCUACCCUAGAGGAUUGCAUUUUCAUGCUAGGCCAACCCUUGGUAUAAAAGGGCUCCCCUGUAGGACAUGCAUGCCGAUUUUACAAUUUUACUUACUAACUCUGGAUUUUUUUUCUUUUAUUUUUUCCCCUCCCCCUGCAUUCAUAAAAGUGUUUCAAUAAGAUGAAAAUAUUUUUCUAUAUCUGAUAACAAUUUUGAUCCAAUAAGGUUUGAAAAUUACAAGAAUUACUUGAUUCUUGGGCGGACCUUGCAAUGAAAAUAUGAAGGAUUUAUUUGGAAGCGCUAGGCUAAAGCCUCUGAGAGACUUUAUAAUUGUUUUUCAAAGAAAAAUUCUGUUUAUUUGAUUUGUUAAUGCAUUUUUUCUUCCAAAGAGAAGGAGACGAAAAGUGUGUAUAUACGGAGCUCUUUAAGAGUUUUUCUCUUCUCAUUUGUAUUAUAAUUGAACGAGAAAUUUUGUUUUAAACUUUUUCAGCAAUAAGGUUUUUAGACAAUUAUUGUUUUGUAUAUAUUCAUGUACAUUUCAUUCUUUUGCUCAUUAGAGAUUUCAUGAUAAAUUUUAAGAAAUAAAACUAAAUUAAGAUUUCCUCAACCUCCAGCCUGAAAAUUUAUAAGUGUAUGCCUUCUAAAAUCCUUACGUACAUUCGAUUGGUGAUCCGAGUUAUACAAUAAGAGUGCUCAGAGUAAAAAAAAA